RNAcentral lists this ribosomal RNA (394 nucleotides) under uncultured bacterium. RNAcentral describes it as "bacterial SSU rRNA". It matches the Rfam family "Bacterial small subunit ribosomal RNA", at positions 335 to 719 of the family's 1533-position model. The record is from RNAcentral.
ACUCCUACGGGAGGCAGCAGUGGGGAAUAUUGCACAAUGGGGGAAACCCUGAUGCAGCCAUGCCGCGUGUGUGAAGAAGGCCUUGGGUUGUAAAGCACUUUCAGUAGGGAGGAAGGUAGUGUAGUUAACACCUGCAUUAUUUGUACGUUACCUACAGAAGAAGCACCGGCUAACUCCGUGCCAGCAGCCGCGGUAAGUACGGAGGGUGCGAGCGUUAAUCGGAAUUACUGGGCGUAAAGCGCAUGCAGGCGGCCUGUUAAGUCAGAUGUGAAAGCCCGGGGCUUAACCUCGGAAUUGCAUUUGAAACUGGCAGGCUAGAGUCUUGUAGAGGGGGUUAGAAUUUCGAGGUGUAGCGGUGAAAUGCGUAGAGAUCUGAAGGAAUACCAGUGGCGAA